RNAcentral lists this ribosomal RNA (1440 nucleotides) under uncultured organism. RNAcentral describes it as "16S ribosomal RNA". It matches the Rfam family "Bacterial small subunit ribosomal RNA". The record is from RNAcentral.
GCUUAACACAUGCAAGUCGAGGGGCAGCAUGGUCUUAGCUUGCUAAGGCCGAUGGCGACCGGCGCACGGGUGAGUAACACGUAUCCAACCUGCCGUCUACUCUUGGACAGCCUUCUGAAAGGAAGAUUAAUACAAGAUGGCAUCAUGAGUCCGCAUGUUCACAUGAUUAAAGGUAUUCCGGUAGACGAUGGGGAUGCGUUCCAUUAGAUAGUAGGCGGGGUAACGGCCCACCUAGUCUUCGAUGGAUAGGGGUUCUGAGAGGAAGGUCCCCCACAUUGGAACUGAGACACGGUCCAAACUCCUACGGGAGGCAGCAGUGAGGAAUAUUGGUCAAUGGGCGAGAGCCUGAACCAGCCAAGUAGCGUGAAGGAUGACUGCCCUAUGGGUUGUAAACUUCUUUUAUAAAGGAAUAAAGUCGGGUAUGCAUACCCGUUUGCAUGUACUUUAUGAAUAAGGAUCGGCUAACUCCGUGCCAGCAGCCGCGGUAAUACGGAGGAUCCGAGCGUUAUCCGGAUUUAUUGGGUUUAAAGGGAGCGUAGAUGGAUGUUUAAGUCAGUUGUGAAAGUUUGCGGCUCAACCGUAAAAUUGCAGUUGAUACUGGAUAUCUUGAGUGCAGUUGAGGCAGGCGGAAUUCGUGGUGUAGCGGUGAAAUGCUUAGAUAUCACGAAGAACUCCGAUUGCGAAGGCAGCCUGCUAAGCUGCAACUGACAUUGAGGCUCGAAAGUGUGGGUAUCAAACAGGAUUAGAUACCCUGGUAGUCCACACGGUAAACGAUGAAUACUCGCUGUUUGCGAUAUACAGCAAGCGGCCAAGCGAAAGCGUUAAGUAUUCCACCUGGGGAGUACGCCGGCAACGGUGAAACUCAAAGGAAUUGACGGGGGCCCGCACAAGCGGAGGAACAUGUGGUUUAAUUCGAUGAUACGCGAGGAACCUUACCCGGGCUUAAAUUGCAGAUGAAUUACGGUGAAAGCCGUAAGCCGCAAGGCAUCUGUGAAGGUGCUGCAUGGUUGUCGUCAGCUCGUGCCGUGAGGUGUCGGCUUAAGUGCCAUAACGAGCGCAACCCUUGUUGUCAGUUACUAACAGGUUCCGCUGAGGACUCUGACAAGACUGCCAUCGUAAGAUGUGAGGAAGGUGGGGAUGACGUCAAAUCAGCACGGCCCUUACGUCCGGGGCUACACACGUGUUACAAUGGGGGGUACAGAGGGCCGCUACCACGCGAGUGGAUGCCAAUCCCAAAAACCUCUCUCAGUUCGGACUGGAGUCUGCAACCCGACUCCACGAAGCUGGAUUCGCUAGUAAUCGCGCAUCAGCCACGGCGCGGUGAAUACGUUCCCGGGCCUUGUACACACCGCCCGUCAAGCCAUGGGAGCCGGGGGUACCUGAAGUGCGUAACCGCGAGGAGCGCCCUAGGGUAAAACUGGUGACUGGGGCUAAGUCGUA